Long non-coding RNA from Monodelphis domestica (gray short-tailed opossum), 1689 nucleotides. Lineage: Eukaryota; Metazoa; Chordata; Mammalia; Didelphimorphia; Didelphidae. The record is from Ensembl.
ACAAAUGAAUAAAUAACUGAUUGUGUGGCAAACUAACGCAACCAAAGCAAAGUUACCGAAGUGCCAUGCCAGUAAGGUUUUGGUCGCAAAGAAGUAAAAUACAAGGGCGAGGAUGUGAGGUUUCUACAGAUAGAGACAAUUGCCCAUUUGUACUAACAAAAGUUCUUUAGGCUUACUGAAGACUACUGACUUUCUGUUUUGGAGAAAUCAAAGUUGGAGGAGAGAAUGGAAGGAAGCAAAAUCGAAUGCUGAUAUCCUCUGAAUGGAAGCGGGGUAUAGGACAUGGGAAACGAUACGGAGGAAGAGACUCAAGUUGGAUAAGAAAGGAAGCAGCCCGCUGGGAGUACCAGUACUGGAACUGGGACUGAGGCCAGGGAGGUGAAGAUAAGAGCACCUCGCCCCGAUAUCUCCUCUAAGCCAGUGCUUCCCUUUCCAAGAAAAGAAGUUCCUUCAGAGGUCCUGGCUGGACAUAACCAGAAGAAAUCUGAAAGGAACAUUUUGGCUGCAUCUUUGAUGGAUAAGUACUGCUAGCGAGCCUCUUUUGAAUGACUCUCACACUUGGACCCAAUCGGGCAGCCCAGGCAGGCCUCUGGGGCCUGUUCUCCUCAGCAAGCUUCCAGACACUGAUGGAUUGUCUCAUUUCCUUGUUUGAUGGACUGGAACCGCCCACAAGCUGCAGAUGCUUCUAUGCAGGGAUGGAUGAUGAACCCCUUCCCCUAGCCAGCCUUCAGUCUGGCCACGUCCCAGGGCAGUUAGGCAAGGACUGUUGUCAGUUCCCGAGUUCUUUCGCUGUUGGAGGACUGCGGGCGGUCAGUGAAUGAUCUGCAGCCCGUGUUUGGAUACCGUCACAUUUUCCAAAGCUAUGUUCACAAUAUCCGCUUGAAGAGAGUUCAGCAAAGCGGAAUUUUCAGGAUCAUGGUUGCCGCUUUGGAAGGAACCAGACACUCUCUCACUGCAGACAAAGCAGCUUGGUUUCAGAUUGUAACUCCCAGCAACCUGAUCGGGGGAGCUCGGAACUGGACGACCCUGCAGAGGGUAUUAGCGAGGACCUUCAGAUGCGGGUUCGGAGCAGGGCUUGGAAGACGUGAGAUGAAGGGUUGAAAUUCUUUUAUAUAAAGUAGCUGACGGAAAUACCAAACAAUUAGCGUAAACAAAGAGACUAAACUAUGCUGUGGCUGGUUUUGGCAGAUUCCACAGACAAAUACCCUAGGCUCCCGUAGCCUUAACGCUGAAGUCUAGACCUAGUGACUCUUAGACAUCACCCCCAAGGAAGCUAAGGGGUCGUGGGGGAGGGCGGCUCAGCUCAAGCUCCUGACAAGGAGCAGUAAACAUAAAACUGGAUCACCCUGGAAAACUGGGACUCCACACCUCCCCCCAAACCCCACCCACCGUGGUGGUAGAGAGACAGUAUGGGUAAGAGAGGGGUGGAUGGGAUAGCUUGGGGCUCCCUUUUGGGAGGGCAGAAAUGUGAUUAAAGCUAGUUCAGUUUAGAGAGAGGUUACCGGUGGAGGUGCCCAAAGAACCUGGGAGGAGUCAGAGGCAACUUCUUCUAUUAUAUUUCUAUAUAUUGAUCACAGUUACUGUUUGCUACUUUUGCCCUCUCUCCAAUUUCUUCCCCAUCUUUUAAAAUAAUAGCUUUGUAACUGUGCUGGAAAUAAAGACACAAACAAAACAUUUUCUGCCUUUAAU